GAAAUGCGCUAAGUAAUGUGAAUUGCAGAAUUCAGUGAAUCAUCGAAUCUUUGAACGCACCUUGCGCUCAUUGGUAUUCCUUGGAGCAUGCCUGUUUGAGUAUCAUGAAAUCUUCAAAGUAAAUCUUUUGUUAACUCAAUUGGUUUCUACUUUGGUAUUGGAGGUCUUUGCAGCUUCACACCUGCUCCUCUUUGUUCAUUAGCUGGAUCUCAGUGUUAUGCUUGGUUCCACUCGGCGUGAUAAGUUAUCUAUCGCUGAGGACACUGUAAAAGGUGGCCAAGGUAAAUGCAGAUGAACCGCUUCUAAUAGUCCAUUGACUUGGACAAUACUUUUAUGAUCUGAUCUCAAAUCAGGUAGGACUACCCGCUGAACUUAAGC
RNAcentral lists this unclassified non-coding RNA (378 nucleotides) under plant metagenome. RNAcentral describes it as "partial contains 5.8S ribosomal RNA, internal transcribed spacer 2, and large subunit ribosomal RNA". The stretch from base 1 to 105 matches the Rfam family "5.8S ribosomal RNA", at positions 50 to 154 of the family's 154-position model. The record is from RNAcentral.